AGCAGCUGCCUUGACAGUAGUGAUGGUUUCAUUUGUUACAACUAGGCUUAAAAGAAAAAGGAUUGAUCCUGAAGUAGAGCCUGAUCCUCUAGUCUAUGUACUUAGGGAACAAAGUGAACUUCACAGACAGAGGACCCUCAACAUGAUUUACAACUCCACUGAUGUAGAGUGCAUUUCCAUGCUUAGGAUGAAGAGAGCCCCUUUUUUUGCUUUAUGCACGACCUUUAGAGAGAGGGGACUGGUAACUGAUAGGGAGGGGGUGUCAGUAGAGGAGCAAGUUGCCAUGUUCCUGCAUGUUGUUGGUCACAACCAAAGGUUUAGAGUUGUGCACCAGGCCUUUAGGAGGUCCAUUCAGACAGUACACAAGCACUUUCAUCAGGUUUUGUAUGCUGUUGGAGAGCUUAGGAAGGAACUUAUCAAGGCACCUAGCCCUACCACUCACCCAAAGAUCACUGGAAGCUAUAGAUGGAAUCCAUAUUUAAAGGACUGCAUUGGUGCCAUUGAUGGCACCCAUGUGCUGGCAAGGGUGCCUAGACACAUGCAGCAAGCUUUCAGGGGUAGGAAAACUAACCCGACACAAAAUGUGAUGGUUGCUGUGGACUUUGACCUCAAGUUCACAUAUGUUCUAGCUGACUGGGAGGGGUCUGCCCAUGAUGCACUUAUCCUGGCUGAUGCCAUUGAGAGGGAUGAUGGGUUCACUGUCCCACAAGGUAAAUUCUACUUGGUAGAUGCGGGGUAUGCAUGCCGCACUGGCUUUCUACCCCCCUUCAGGGGGGUUAGGUACCAUUUGAGUGAGUUUGGGAGCAGAAAUCGACCUACCAAUGCAAGAGAACUGUUCAACCUGAGACACUCAUCACUUAGAGUUACUGUGGAGAGGGCUAUAGGUGCAUUGAAGAACAGGUUUCGUAUCUUGGACAACAAGCCCUUUCACAAGUAUAAGACACAAGUCAAGCUUGUGUUGGCAUGCUCGAUCCUGCAUAACUGGAUUUUAGGCUUUGGCAUUGACGAAGUAGUGCCUAAUGAGGAGGGUUUCACUGGCACAAUGGUAGAUCCACUAGAUGACAAUGGUAGCCAGAGCCAAGAUUCCAGUGCCAUGGCUGCAAAGAGGGAUGCCAUUUGCAAUGUUAUGUGGGAAGGGAGGGGAAGCUCUAGGAUAUGAUGGUUUGUUUACCCUGCUAUGGAACUCAUGUUUGUUUGUUGAUAAUGUAAUAAUAUGAUGGACAUGGCUGAGACCAAUUUUUUUCAUUCCCAUUUGUCUCUUCUUGUUGUGCUGAUAUUAUUAUCCUAAUUUGUACAUGCAAACCAGUGGUAAGAUGCCUUCAGUCCCAGCUGGUGAUCAGGGUGGGUUUGUCCCAGCUACUGAUGUGAUGACUGAGACGAUAAGGGUUGGUGCUAGUGCACCAGCUAACGCUGAUGAUGCUACUGCAUCUAGUGCUGGUGCUGCUCCAGCAGCAGCUGGACUUGUUGCUGCUGUUCCCGGGGGUCCUAGGGCAAUGAGGUGGAACAACAACACCUCUGGAUUUAUUCUUAGGAGGAUGGCUCAACUUCUUAGUGAUGGUAGCAGGCCUGACAAGGUCUUCAAGGACAAGGAUGUCAACUCUGUUGCCAAAGCCCUUAAGGAGUACAGUGGGGAGGCAGUGAGCCCAACUCAGGUGUAUAACCACUUGAGGAAAUGGAGGCAGAAAUGGUCUAGGGUGUCUAAGCUCAAAGACCUUAGUGGGGCUUUAUGGGAUAGUGACUCCAAUGCUAUCUUGCUUGAUCAGGAGCACUACCUUGGCCACUGCAAGGACCAUCCAAAAGAUGCAGAGUUCCUAAACUGCCCUAUUAGGUUCUACACUGAGAUGGAGGCCAUUUUUGGCCAUGCUAUGGCCACUGGCAAAUUUGCACUUGGUUCUGGUGAAGCCUUAGGACAGAACCAGGUUGAUAGUGUUGCUGCCAAGGUUGAGGGACCUGCCUUCACCUAUAUCUCUGAAGAGAGAGCACAAACUGAUGUUGGAGAGGGUAGCAAGGCCACCGAGAACCCCUCCAUAGCUGUGGGUAGGAAGAGGAAGAGAGGGAACUUCAGUGAGGAUGAGAUGCUUAUGUUGACCAAUAUGUCUGAUGCAGUGAACAAUGUGGCUAAUGCCCUUAGAGAGACUGGACUUGCCCAUGUGGAUGCUAACCUCUACCUAGCUGUGAUGGAGAUGCCUGGCUAUUCUGAGGAGGCACUGAUUGUUGCCUACACCUUCCUCUUGGACAACAAGGCUCAAGGCAGGGGCUUUGUUCACAUGACUGAGGCACAUAGAAACAUUUGGCUUAGGACCUUCCUAGCCAAGAACUACUACAUGUAGGUGAAUUACAUGUUGGUGUGCGCCACCACCCACUCUCUCUUCCUACCCACUCUCUCUUUUGACUAUAGCUGGGAAUAGUUUGUUGUAGACAUUUUGGUGUGCAGUCUGGUUUACUCCCACCAGUCCUUUUGUCUAAUUUACCUAGGAGGGUGGCUAACAAUAGGUAACAUUUGGGUGGACACCAUUUGAACCCUAAGCUGUUGGGCUCAAACUUAUUGUAAGGCACUAUUUGUGUAGCCUCUGUUGGCUGCUGUGGUAAGUUUAUAUUAUUUCAUCCAUUUCAUACUAUGAUUGAAGUUUUUACUUGGCCAAUGAUGCUAUAUACACCAAUCUGAGGUGCAUUUGCAUUUGAUGUGUUGUACUGCAGCUGAGGCCCGUGUUUACUUGUGCUUUCCUUUAUUCCUAUGAUGACAUAAUUGCCAUUGAACCAUGUUGUCAUUAUUGCCCGUGUUAAUGUGGAUGAUCUUUAAAUUGUGAGGUACUGGGCAUAUGCUGAAAAUUAUGUUGUUUCCACCAUGUUGUGAUUAUUGCCUUGGAACCAUGGGGCACAUCCAUGCCCAAUGCAACUGUUAUCCACAAAAGAUGACUUGAUGGCUGGGUUGGAUGAAUAUCAUGGUUUCAUGGCUGCCCAGCUAUGUUCCUUAUGCUCCAAGUUAAAAGAUCACAUGAAAAUGGCAAUUAAUAUCUGAGGAAAAUCAUUGCUAUUGUCAAUCUUGCAUGGCUUCUUUGAUGGAUAUGUUGCAGAUGGAUGCCCAACUACCUGACUAUGUUGCAGAUGGAUGCCCAACUACCUGAUCAUGGCUUCUUUGAUUGUAACUUGUAAAUAGCAAUGACAAUAAUUGAUUCAGUUAAGUUAAAAUUGUCUAAGGCUAACUCAGCUGUAAUGCAUGUA
Zea mays is the source of this 3222-nucleotide RNA transcript. RefSeq lists it as uncharacterized. NCBI's taxonomy places the organism in Eukaryota, Viridiplantae, Streptophyta, Magnoliopsida, Poales, Poaceae. The record is from RefSeq and is marked validated. The transcript is spliced from 4 exons.